AGCUCCGGCGCGAAGGAGAUAGCACGCACAUUUGUAUGUCGGCCUAACAUCACAGCCCGCCCCUCAAGAAUCCUUGGAGCGUGAUAAGGACUCUCACCCCGUCUGUGCCUCCCGCAGGAUCGCCAAGGAAGCGCCAGUCACAGCGGGAACGGAGGCUAGCCGGACUAUAGAGGAGUUGCGAGAGCUGGUGCGGCGGUUACCACGACACCAUCUGAACUGCCUGACGGUCCUUAUGCACCACCUGCACCGCGUCAGCAGUUUCCCUCACCUCAACAACAUGCCGUCCUCAAACCUCGGCAUCGUGUUCGGGCCGACGCUGCUCCGGACGUCGGAGGGAUCGGCGUCGCUGAGUUCGCUGGUGGACACGGUGCACCAGACGCGCGCCAUCGAGCUCCUCAUCACCUUCGCCCACGAGAUCUUCCCGCAGAGCGAAAUCCUGCAGUCGAGAGAUCUGCAGGUGCCCUCGGGAGCAGCCUCUGCCAGGGUGCGGCUCGACGAGGUGCUCAAGCAGCCGCUGCCGAGCCGCCAGACCUCCGUGCACACGAGCAGCAGCAGCAGCAGCAGUAGCAGCAGCGGGGUCAACGUGAGCGGGGUCUCGGGUCACAAGCGCGGCCGCGACGGAGGCGUCACUGAGCUGGUAGGCGUGGUGGAGGACUCGCCGUCGCCUGCGCCCUCGCACGCCCACAAGGACAGGAAGGACUCGGAGAACUUAGACGAGGACUGGGAGUGGGAGGGCGAGGAGUCGUCCACUGAGGCGGGCGGGAGCGAACCGGCCACGCCCAGGCCGCCCGCAGCCGCCGCCCGCGCGCCCUCCAGCCACGCCAAGAUCUACAAGACGUCGCUCAAGGACUACGUGGGGCUCGAGGGGGUGGCCAUGCACGUGUCCACGGGUCUGCACACUGCACACGAGGCGGUGGAUGUUGUCCACCAGAGGCUACGCAAGACCGUGAGCGACAUUUCGUCCUCCCUACGGCCGCCCUCCGCACAGGACCUCUCUCGGAGAGCCACCGUGGAGGACGUGCACAGACGGGGAAUGGGAGGCGGUGGAGGAGGAGGGCUCGGCGAAGAUGCGACCCGGAGACCCACCAUCACGCAGGAGACGUCAAGAAAGCACGCGAGCGCAAUUGUGACCCUUUCCUCCGAGGAGCAUCCCGGCAGAAGACAACCGGCGCUCGACGUCGAUCAGAGAAGACAACACUCGACGGAGGAAUCGACGUCGACCAGGAAACUCAUGCUAGAGGAAGUGGGCAGGAAGGCCACGCUGGAGGAGCGGCUCGGCUUCCAGGGGGAGGAGAGGCAGCGCGCCGGCCCCGUCACCUCCAGCACGUCACUCAGCAGAGCGCAGGCACUCUACAAGAGCGAGUCCAAGUCCAGUAUGAGUGAGACGGAACUCAAGGUGGAGGUGCGGACGAGUUCGGGCGUGACGAAGACGGAGUCCCGCGGGUCCGUGACGCUGGAGCAGGGCGCGGCGGGCAUGGCGAGCUCCGGCGGGCGCAAGGUGUCGCCGCUGCUCGGCCAGCGCUCCAGCCACGCCCACCGCUCGGGGCUCGCCAGCGGCACCGACUCCUCCAUCGACUCGGACUACAGCUACGAGUACAGCCAGCCGAGCGCCGCCGGGGCCGCCCCGACGUGCCCCUCCGCCGCCCACGCCUCGGUGCUGGCGGCGCGCGGGCGUAACGAGGUCAUGGCGGGCGGGGCCUCGCGGGCCGUGUCGGUGUCCCGCGACCCGUCCCUGGACAACGUGACGUCAUCGGUGACCUCGUCUGACUCGUCCUCGCAGGAGCUGGAUUCCGCCCACGCCACCGAGGACUCCCAUAGCUCGGAGGCGUACGACGAGACGGACGCCGCCCACGCACGCCCACUCGCCUACUCCUCUGCACACUUUGCACGAUCCACAAGUGAAGAGUCCAGCUCCUAGUACAUAAAAUCAAAAUUAAAAAUAUCCAGAACUAAAACAAAACUUCCAAACGAGUAACUGGCAACCUUUGUGGUGUGGCGGCAGCAGCGGAGGCGAGAGCGGCUACGUGUCGCCGUACCUGAGCACGGAGCGCGGGGGGCUGGUCACGCUGGGCCCUUCCCUCCUGCUCACCCGCGCCACCAUCGCGCAGUACGACACCAAGCGCACCAU
Molecule: unclassified non-coding RNA, 2128 nt
Filed under: Penaeus chinensis
Lineage: Eukaryota; Metazoa; Arthropoda; Malacostraca; Decapoda; Penaeidae
Description: suppressor protein SRP40-like, transcript variant X3
Source: RNAcentral